GCGGAGGCCGGAGAGGCGUUUGCGGCCCAGCGCCUGGACUGGACCUUGGCGUUGGGCCGCAGUUGCCCGGAGUUUUUGGGGCCCCCGGGAACCCGCGCGCCGAGGCCGGCUAAGUUUGGCAGACUCUCUGAGCUCUCGGAAUUCGACUGCCUCCAUUGUUGCUCCUUCUGGCACCCACAGACCGUAACGUGGCCGUAAUUGUUUCCCGGAGAGCUUAGCUUCCCUCUGAGCACCUCCCUCCCCUUUUUAAAGUACCUUCCCACUCGCCUGCGUUUCCUCGCGUUAGUGGUGCAGGGGCCUCCGCAUUUGGGGAAAUAACAAACACCCACUUCCGCCCCCCACCCCAACCGGGAUCCCCAGAUAAUGAGAAAUAGAUGGUGGCCCUCUGUUUGUAAGCUGUUCAUUUGCAUAGGUCGGAACCGCGCACCACAGCUUGAAGCUAGGAAUUAAAAUAUCGGUGGGAAUUAAAUAAGUGGCUGGCUUAAAGAACAUCUUCUUAAUUUAUCCCCAAAUGUAGACAUCUCUUCAGUGGACCCCCUGAUAGGCCGGUUUGCUCCAGAAGAGACGGGGUUUCACCAUGUUGGCCAUGAUGGUCUCGAUUUCUGACCUUGUCAUCCGUCCGCCUUGGCCUCCCAAAGUGCUGGGAUUACGGGCGUGAGCCACCGUACCCAGCCUGCUUCCUGUUUUAACAGACGAAGAAAUGGAAUAACUUCCAACAACACAGGUUGGAGCUGAAGGAGUGCCCAGGCUGCGGAUGGAGGAAGGACGUGCUCGGGAGAAGGUGAAGAUGGGAGAGAAGCAAGAUCUUCUGUGUUUGGACCAAGGACACAUUUCCUUACUCCAUAGCAGCUGUGGUCAGUGGCUUAGCUCGGACAAGGAGAUGAGAGCCCAUGUGUUGUGAGGGUUCUUCUGGGAACUCUGAGAAGGCAGGAGCCGCCCCCGCCCUUCACUGCCUCUCUUCCAUUCUGCAGCAUGGAAUAUGGAUGUGUGGUCUGGAUGUACAGACACCAUUUUGGACCAUAAAGACAAGGACGAUUGUCUAAGGAUGACACAGCCAGAGCACUGAGAGUGGCGAGAAGGACAGGGGAGCUGCUGUGCCAAGCAGGACUGUCUCUCUUAAGAGAAAAAUAAAAUUUAUUGGUGUUUAAACCAUUGCUUUUUUGGGCUGUCACGUCACUGGAAUUAAUCUGAAACGCUGCAGCAAUUAAUGGAAAAAAUAGAACCCCAUCUUCACGCUUUGAGCUUUUUAUGGCAUAACCACUCUGUCCAAAGUAAUAUACCACCAAGUUGAAACAUGAUUAUGCUCAGCUGUUUACAGGCUUUGGAAAUUUCAGUACAGGGUUUAUCUUCCUGUCAUACAGCCUGCCAUUCCCCUUUUAAUGUGGCCAGAUCGUUUGAUGUGUUUUCUCUUUGUCUCCAUUCAAGCAGGGAGAAGGCUCUGUGCAUCCAGGAAGGUUUGUGAAGGGCCUCCUGGUAUCUGUAUUCAAAA
This is a long non-coding RNA of Homo sapiens (human), 1489 nucleotides long. Ensembl annotates it as DICER1 antisense RNA 1. Its record names the gene DICER1-AS1. NCBI's taxonomy places the organism in Eukaryota, Metazoa, Chordata, Mammalia, Primates, Hominidae. The record is from Ensembl.